CUAAAAAAACGCUACACUAAAAAACGCUACAUAGGCUAUAUUCGCUACAAGUUUAUUGCCUGUUUCUGUGUGUGUAUAAGUUUAUAAUUUAUAGAGAUAUAUAUUCGCUACUAUUCUAAAAUAAAAUAUAUAUAAAAUAUAUAUAAUUUAUUUUUGGAUUCGAUCAAACCGUAUGAAGUUUUACAAACUCAAAUGUACGCCAUCAGAAGACUUUUUAUCCCGCCAGCCCCAGAAACCCAGGGUGAACUAGAUAUUCAUUCCAAGUGGUUUUUGAUCAAUGAUCAAUCCAUAGUGAUCGGAGAUUACCUUCACUCUGAUGGAUUAAGAACCCUUGUGUGCUCCACUAACGAGUGUUUGCAGAUCCUCUCUAGAGCAGAAACAAUUCAUGGAGAUGGAACGUUCCGCAUCACGCCAUAUCUCUGGUAUCAAGUUUUCAUAAUUCAUGCCAGCGUAGGACCGAAUUCUAUUUGCUUUGCAACAACAAGGAUAAUAGUCCGAUUGUUAUAUCUGAUUUAUCUAAGUCUGGACAGCAAACCGGUGGACUAUUACAACUUCAAGAAGGAUGGAAAAAGGCUGAACAGAGAUGAUCAAAAACAGCUUGUUCGACUAGAUCCAGGUACACCUUAUAACUGUCAUAAAUCUGUUAGAUCUGCUGUAGUCAUCAACCUACUAGAACAACUUGAAACAGAGAGAAUAAUCUGGAUAAAUGAAGAUGAACCAAUUGAAGUUUGGUGAAUUCGGAGACGAGUACUGUCUACAAAUUUUUUCAAACUUAAUUGGACGUGAUAUUCUGUAUAUCCCUGUAUUUGAAAUCUCUGCCCAUAUCUGUAAACAGUAUUGUUUAAUUCGCUCUGAUAAUCGAGAUCCAUAUAGUGCUCCACUAACUCUUCUAUGGUUUGAAGAAACAUUUUUUCAAUCUGGACAUUAUCAGUCCAUUACUCCAACUGAUUCCAGCAUUAUAAUGAAGCAUUACAAUAGGAUGAAUAACUCUACAUAUCGAUUGUUUGAGUCUCAGGUUGCCAGGAUGACACUGAGAUCUGUCAACUCAGAUGUUGAGCAAAUUCAACAGCCUGAGAUUUCAUAUGCAAUAUGCAAUUAUGCAAGUAACUCCAACCUUGCUCCAGGAGAGAUUAGAUCAAAACAAACCAUCGACCCAGUGCAGAACAAAAAGAAAGUCCACAACAAUUUUAGAUAAUUCCAGCCCCAAAAGAACUAAACUGUCGGAUACAACAGAUAUCACUCAUCCAGACCAGACCAUCACCAGAAUUUGUCAUCUUUGUAAUUUGAAUUUUAAACGCAAGGGAGGCUCAAAGAGGUGCAUUUGUGGCCGUUAUGUACAUGUAAAAUGUCAUAAAAAUAGAAUUAAUUGCCCAUUCAAGAAUGAAUGACCGUAAUAAUAUGUGGUACACUUAUAAUUUUUCCAUUUAUGACUAUGAGAAUUUAAAAAUAUAUAUCUCUUAAAUUAUAAACUUAUGAUUUAUUUUCAAUUUACGACUAUGUGAAUUUUAAAAUCUUAUACACAAACAGAAACAGGCAAUAAACUUGUAGCGAAUAUAGCCUAUGUAGCGUUUUUUUAGUGUAGCGUUUUUUUAGGGUAGC
This 1599-nucleotide unclassified non-coding RNA is filed under the name Eurytemora carolleeae. RNAcentral's name for it is "uncharacterized LOC111706240". Lineage: Eukaryota; Metazoa; Arthropoda; Copepoda; Calanoida; Temoridae. The record is from RNAcentral.